UACAAUCCGAGGUGAGUUUUUGCCGUGGUGUGGUGUGUGUGUGUGUGUGUGUGUGUGUGUUCGUUCUUCAGACAGGAAAACCUCACAGAGACGGGUUUGUACACCAACAUGUAGCUUUAUCACACCUCCACCACCACCGCAAUGACCAGGCCUCCGUUAUCACCGUCCACAUCACCGUAAAGACACGACGCUAUUCUCCCGGAUCCGAUGGAGGGAGCAGUGAGGGUGGCCGAGGCCGGAGGGAGCUCAUCCUCAGCCGGGGCCGCUGUGGCGGAGGACACGGAGACCGUCAUUGGAGUCGGAUACGGGAUAGAAGACACUGCUGCUAAGAAGACCUACA
Long non-coding RNA from Ictalurus punctatus (channel catfish), 340 nucleotides. NCBI's taxonomy places the organism in Eukaryota, Metazoa, Chordata, Actinopteri, Siluriformes, Ictaluridae. The record is from Ensembl.